Molecule: long non-coding RNA, 1568 nt
Filed under: Oncorhynchus kisutch (coho salmon)
Lineage: Eukaryota; Metazoa; Chordata; Actinopteri; Salmoniformes; Salmonidae
Description: lncRNA (ENSOKIG00005012287.1)
Source: RNAcentral
UCUCUAGGUGUCCGCUGUGUAAGCAGCCGUUCUCCUCCAGCCUUACUCUCAAACCUCCUGUACCCGGAGAAAACAGGACCGCAGCUGCCAUGGUGACCACCAGAGCAGGUGGUAACCAUGGAGAGUGAAAGAGGAGGAGGGGGAGGGAGAGGAGACAGUCAGGACGAAGGUGGAAAGGGUGGGAACUCCUCUUCUACCCCGGCCAGAGGAUGGAGGGAUCGAUGGACAGUGGGAGCUGGCAGUGUUCCACGGCUCAUUGGUCAACAUCGUCCAACGUAUCAUCACCUUGCCCAAUCGCACGCCGUAAUAGGGAGGGAGGGGGCGGGGUCAUCCAGGAUGAACUCCACCCCUUUCCAGCUGGCACGGAUGGACCACUUCUUCCACGAGCUGGAAGCCUUUGACCAGCUGGCCAUCUACGACACUCCGGCGCCGACCUACGAGGGCGGUAUGACAUCAUCAACCAGUGACACUGACCUCUCUGUCACCUGGCCAUCUAUGACCCUCCGGCGCCGACCUACGAGGACGGUAUGACAUCAUCAACCAGUGACACUGACCUCUCUGUCAAAUCAAAUCAAAUCAAAUGUAUUUAUAUAGCCCUUCGUACAUCAGCUGAUAUCUCAAAGUGCUGUACAGAAACCCAGCCUAAAACCCCAAACAGCAAGCAAUGCAGGUGGAGAAGCACGGUGGCUAGGAAAAACUCCCUAGAAAGGCCAAUACCUAGGAAGAAACCUAGAGAGGAACCAGGCUAUGUGGGGUGGCCAGUCCUCUUCUGGCUGUGCCGGGUGGAGAUUAUAACAGAACAUGGUCAAGAUGUUCAAUGUUCAUAAAUGACCAGCAUGGUCGAAUAAUAAUAAGGCAGAACAGUUGAAACUGGAGCAGCAGCACAGUCAGGUGGAAGUUGAAACUGGAGCAGCAGCAUGGCCAGGUAGACUGGGGACAGCAAGGAGUCAUCAUGUCAGGUAGUCCUGGGGCAUGGUCCUAGGGCUCAGGUCAGUUGAAACUGGAACAGCAGCAUGGCCAGGUGGACUGGGGACAGCAAGGAGUCAUCAUGUCAGGUAGUCCUGGGGCAUGGUCCUAGGGCUCAGGUCCUCCGAGAGAGAGAAAGAAAGAGAGAAAGAGAGAAUUAGAGAACGCACACUUAGAUUCACACAGGACACCGAAUAGGACAGGAGAAGUACUCCAGAUAUAACAAACUGACCCCAGCCCCCCGACACAUAAACUACUGCAGCAUAAAUACUGGAGGCUGAGACAUCUCCAUCUACGACCCUCCAGCGCCGACCUACGAGGACGGUAUGACAUCAUCAACCAGUGACACUGACCUCUCUGUCACCUGGCCAUCUUCGACCCUCCGGCGCCGACCUACGAGGACGGUAUGACAUCAUCAACCAGUGACACUGACCUCUCUGUCACCUCCAUCUCAGAGGAAGAGAUAUUGUUUUGUUACUACUUUUGGGAUGAGCUUCCAGUUGGCUCAUCUAUCCCCCCUCCUCCUCCUCUCCCCUGGAACUAUUCCCAAGGUCGUUGAGGUCGUUGGGGUCGUUGAGGUAAAAGAGAAUGUGUUCUCAGUC